Molecule: ribosomal RNA, 1704 nt
Filed under: Triticum aestivum (bread wheat)
Lineage: Eukaryota; Viridiplantae; Streptophyta; Magnoliopsida; Poales; Poaceae
Description: partial small subunit ribosomal RNA
Source: RNAcentral
AUGUUCCUGAUGCUUGCAGUGAGAUUUUUUUUUGUUCAUGCCUGUAGAUUUUUGCCGGAUGCGUUCAUGCUAAACUCAAGAUGGCAAACUCUUCAUGUGAAUAGAAAACAGUAUCCAUCAAUGGCGACCUCCUCUCUUGCUCCGCCUGAGGUGCCCAUGGAGCUGCAUGCAGGCAACCGUGACCGCCUCUUAACCGCACUGCACGCCCACCUCUCCGCCGCCGCUAGCCCUCCCCGCGGCCUUGCCCUCCUCCAGGGCGGUGAGGAGCAGACACGACACUGCACUGAUCAUCUCGAGCUGUUUAGGCAGGAGAGCUACUUUGCUUAUCUCUUCGGAGUGCGUGAGCCAGGGUUCUACGGCGCUAUAGACAUUGCCUCUGGACAAUCGAUUUUGUUUGCUCCAAGGUUGCCACCUGACUAUGCUGUCUGGAUGGGUGAAAUAAAACCACUCCCUUAUUUUAAGGAUAGGUACAAGGUCGAUUUGGUCUUCUAUGUCGAUGAGAUUGUGCAGGUUCUGCAAGAUCGAUUCAGUCAGCAUGGGAAGCCUGUGUUGUUUCUCUUGUAUGGAAAGAGUACUGACAGCGGAAAUUACUCAAAGCCUGCUAGUUUUGAAGGGAUAGAGAAGUUUGACACCGAUUUGAGUACACUCCACCCUAUCUUAACUGAAUGCCGUGUUAUCAAAUCUGGAAUGGAGCUUGCCCUCAUUCAAUAUGCCAAUGAUGUUAGCUCAGAAGCACACAUUGAGGUUAUGAGACAGGCAAAACCAGGCAUGAAGGAAUAUCAGUUAGAAAGCAUAUUUCUUCAUCAUUCUUAUAGGUAUGGAGCCUGUCGACAUUGCUCCUACACAUGCAUAUGCGCUACCGGAGAGAACAGGAAUUGUGAUACAAGUAUCAACAUCAUAACAACAAAUCACCAUCUAGUGCCUGUUGUAGUGUUAUCCACUGUUUCCAUUUGUUCUAUUCUUCAUUAUGGACAUACGGCUGCUCCAAAUGACCGGACGCUGAAUGAUGGAGACAUGGCUCUAAUGGACAUGGGAGCUGAAUAUAAUUUCUAUGGCUCUGACAUCACAUGUUCAUACCCCAUAAAUGGGAAGUUCAACAGCAACCAGGCAAUAGUAUACAAUGCUGUCCUUAAGGCUCAUAAUGCUGUCAUAUCACACAUGCAGCCUGGAUUAAAAUGGGUUGAUAUGCACAAGCUGGCCGAGCAGACAAUACUUGAAUCUCUCAAGAAUGAAAAGAUUAUCCAUGGUGAUAUUGCUGAUAUGAUGGCUCGAAGGUUGGGUGCUGUUUUCAUGCCUCAUGGUCUUGGGCACUUGCUUGGAAUUGACACCCAUGAUCCCGGAGGCUACCCUGAGGGCUUAGAGAGACCAAAGGAGCCAGGACUGAGCUCCUUGCGGACCAUAAGAGAACUUAAAGAAGGCAUGGUUAUUACGGUUGAGCCAGGCUGUUAUUUCAUCGAUGCUUUGCUGAGGCCUGCCAGGGAUGAUCCAAUUUCCUCAAAAUUCUUCAACUGGGAAGAGAUUGAGAAGUACAAAAGUUUUGGUGGUGUUCGUAUUGAAAGUGAUCUGUAUGUGACGGCACAAGGAUGCAAGAACCUGACAAACUGCCCCCGGGAGACCUGGGAAAUCGAAGCGGUAAUGGCUGGCGCGCCAUGGCCUCCACGUGCUUCCGUGACAAAAGCAGAGAACGGACUACCCAAAGCCUGA